This 103-nucleotide transfer RNA is filed under the name Fibroporia radiculosa. It matches the Rfam family "tRNA". Rfam says of the family: Transfer RNA (tRNA) molecules are approximately 80 nucleotides in length. Their secondary structure includes four short double-helical elements and three loops (D, anti-codon, and T loops). Lineage: Eukaryota; Fungi; Basidiomycota; Agaricomycetes; Polyporales; Fibroporiaceae. The record is from Rfam by way of RNAcentral.
GGCGCUGUAGCCAAGUGGUUACGGCGACAGAUUAGAAUAACAAACUGGACAUUAUGUAAUCUGUUCCUCUUUGAGGGCGCAGGUUCGAAUCCUGCCGGCGUCG